UACGUAGGGCGCAAGCGUUGUCCGGAAUUAUUGGGCGUAAAGAGCUCGUAGGCGGUUUGUCGCGUCUGCCGUGAAAGCCCGGGGCUUAACUCCGGGUCUGCGGUGGAUACGGGCAGACUAGAGGCAGGUAGGGGAGAACGGAAUUCCUGGUGUAGCGGUGAAAUGCGCAGAUAUCAGGAGGAACACCGGUGGCGAAGGCGGGUCUCUGGGCCGAUACUGACGCUGAGGAGCGAAAGCGUGGGGAGCGAACAGG
This 253-nucleotide ribosomal RNA is filed under the name uncultured bacterium. Its description in RNAcentral is "partial 16S ribosomal RNA". It matches the Rfam family "Bacterial small subunit ribosomal RNA", at positions 524 to 776 of the family's 1533-position model. The record is from RNAcentral.